Molecule: unclassified non-coding RNA, 187 nt
Filed under: uncultured Dinemasporium
Lineage: Eukaryota; Fungi; Ascomycota; Sordariomycetes; Chaetosphaeriales; Chaetosphaeriaceae
Description: sequence contains ITS1
Source: RNAcentral
CAGGACGUCAUACUCCCGUAAUACCACUGUGAAUCUUACCUACCGUCGUUGCCUCGGCGGACGCCUCCCGGGCGGCAUGGGGUCUUCGGAUCCCCGGCCGCCCGCUGCGGGAGGGUCCACGUCCGCCGGCGGCCCGCAUACUCUGUCUCAGCGUGUUGGCAUCUCCGAGUAUUAUACAAACGAGUCA